UGAGUACGAGCUGCUACGGCAGCGAAGUGGGUGAUGUCAAGCUUCCAAGAAAAGCCCUAUACCCGUUAAGGCAUGACGGCCUGUACCCGAAACCGACACAGGUGGGGUGGUAGAGAAUACCGAGGGGCGCGAGAUAACUCUCUCUAAGGAACUCGGCAAAAUGGCCCCGUAACUUCGGGAGAAGGGGUGCCACCGCAGGGUGGUCGCAGUGAAGAGGCCCAGGCGACUGUUUACCAAAAACACAGGUCUCCGCUAAGUCGCAAGACGAUGUAUGGGGGCUGACGCCUGCCCAGUGCCGGAAGGUUAAGGAAGCUGGUCAGCGCAAGCGAAGCUAGCGACUGAAGCCCCGGUGAACGGCGGCCGUAACUAUAACGGUCCUAAGGUAGCGAAAUUCCUUGUCGGGUAAGUUCCGACCCGCACGAAAGGCGUAACGAUCUGGGCGCUGUCUCGGAGAGAGGCUCGGCGAAAUAGAAUUGUCUGUGAAGAUGCGGACUACGUGCACCCGGACAGAAAGACCCUAUGAAGCUUUACUGUAGCUUGGUAUUGUGCCCGGGCUCUGAAUGCGCAGGAUAGGUGGGAGGCUUUGAUCCAUUGCUUGUGGGUAAUGGUGAGCCACUGGUGAGAUACCACUCUUUCAGAGCUAGGGUUCUAACGGUCACCCGUUAUCCGGGGACCGGACAGUAUCAGGUGGGCAGUUUGACUGGGGCGGUCGCCUCCCUAAAGGUAACGGAGGCGCGCAAAGGUUCCCUCAGGCUGGUUGGAAAUCAGCCGACGAGUGUAAAGGCAGAAGGGAGCUUGACUGUGAGACCUACAAGUCGAACAGGGACGAAAGUCGGCCUUAGUGAUCCGACGGUUCUGAGUGGAAGGGCCGUCGCUCAACGGAUAAAAGUUACUCUAGGAUAACAGGCUGAUCUCCCCCAAGAGUUCACAUCGACGGGGAGGUUUGGCACCUCGAUGUCGGCUCAUCGCAACCUGGGGCUGAAGUCGGUCCCAAGGGUUGGGCUGUUCGCCCAUUAAAGCGGUACGCGAGCUGGGUUCAGAACGUCGUGAGACAGUUCGGUCCAUAUCCGGUGCACGCGCAGGAACAUUGAGAGGAUUUCUCCCUAGUACGAGAGGACCGGGAGGAACGCACCUCUGGUGUACCAGUUAUCGUGCCAACGGUAAACGCUGGGUAGCCAUGUGCGGAGCGGAUAACCGCUGAAAGCAUCUAAGUGGGAAGCCCACCUCAAGAUGAGUGUUCCCAUGGCAUAUGCCAGUAAGGUCACGGGAAGAACACCCGUUGAUAGGCUCUACGUGGAAGCGUGGCAACACGUGAAGCGGAGGAGUACUAAUAGACCGAGGGCUUGAGC
Molecule: ribosomal RNA, 1349 nt
Filed under: metagenome
Description: bacterial LSU rRNA
Rfam family: Bacterial large subunit ribosomal RNA
Source: RNAcentral